RNAcentral lists this ribosomal RNA (253 nucleotides) under uncultured bacterium. RNAcentral's name for it is "partial 16S ribosomal RNA". It matches the Rfam family "Bacterial small subunit ribosomal RNA", at positions 524 to 776 of the family's 1533-position model. The record is from RNAcentral.
UACAGAGGGUGCGAGCGUUAAUCGGAAUUACUGGGCGUAAAGCGUGCGCAGGCGGCCGAGCAAGUCGAGUGUGAAAUCCCCGGGCUUAACUUGGGAAUUGCGCUCGAAACUACUUGGCUGGAGUGUGGCAGAGGAAGGUGGAAUUCCACGUGUAGCGGUGAAAUGCGUAGAGAUGUGGAGGAACACCGAUGGCGAAGGCAGCCUUCUGGGCCAACACUGACGCUCAUGCACGAAAGCGUGGGGAGCAAACAGG